AUUGAACGCUGGCGGAAUGCUUUACACAUGCAAGUCGAGCGGCAGCGCGGGGACAACCCUGGCGGCGAGCGGCGAACGGGUGAGUAACGCAUCGGAACGUACCUUGUAGUGGGGGAUAACUAUCCGAAAGGAUAGCUAAUACCGCAUACGCCCUGAGGGGGAAAGGGGGGGAUCGCAAGACCUCUCGCUACAGGAGCGGCCGAUGUCCGAUUAGCUAGUUGGUGAGGUAAAGGCUCACCAAGGCGACGAUCGGUAGCUGGUCUGAGAGGAUGAUCAGCCACACUGGGACUGAGACACGGCCCAGACUCCUACGGGAGGCAGCAGUGGGGAAUUUUGGACAAUGGGGGCAACCCUGAUCCAGCCAUUCCGCGUGAGUGAAGAAGGCCU
RNAcentral lists this ribosomal RNA (387 nucleotides) under uncultured bacterium. RNAcentral's name for it is "bacterial SSU rRNA". It matches the Rfam family "Bacterial small subunit ribosomal RNA", at positions 29 to 417 of the family's 1533-position model. The record is from RNAcentral.